This 253-nucleotide ribosomal RNA is filed under the name uncultured bacterium. Its description in RNAcentral is "partial 16S ribosomal RNA". It matches the Rfam family "Bacterial small subunit ribosomal RNA", at positions 524 to 776 of the family's 1533-position model. The record is from RNAcentral.
UACGGAGGGUGCAAGCAUUGAUCGGAAUUACUGGGCGUAAAGCGCACGUAGGCGGCUUCUUAAGUCAGGGGUGAAAUCCUGGAGCUCAACUCCAGAACUGCCUUUGAUACUGAGGAGCUUGAGUCCGGGAGAGGUGAGUGGAACUGCGAGUGUAGAGGUGAAAUUCGUAGAUAUUCGCAAGAACACCAGUGGCGAAGGCGGCUCACUGGCCCGGUACUGACGCUGAGGUGCGAAAGCGUGGGGAGCAAACAGG